CUUGACUAUCUGCAAGACAGUCGACUUAAGUUGUGAAGAUCUGACAGUAACUAUUCCUGAAACCAUGCUGAAGGUCGUAGUUCUGCUUGCGUGCCUGCUGAGCCUGGCUCUGGCUAACAAUCAGGGCAACUGUCAGUCUCAUCACCAUCGCCAUUGCCACCAUCCUCCACCUCCUGCUCUGAAUAGACAGUUGCUCCAGUUGAUUCUUAAGCACCUUCAGCAACAUGCUGCGGCUACAACCACUACUACAGCAGCAACCACCGCCACCCCCACUGCAGCAGCUACUAAUUCUUCCACCGUGGGAUUGACAUAAAUCUGAAAUCUAGAUGUCAAGGAACAACACUGCUUUGAAGUGAUUUCUGUUUGCUCAUUAUUUUAGUAAACAUGUUAAUCUUG
Long non-coding RNA from Mugil cephalus (flathead mullet), 396 nucleotides. RefSeq lists it as uncharacterized. NCBI's taxonomy places the organism in Eukaryota, Metazoa, Chordata, Actinopteri, Mugiliformes, Mugilidae. The record is from RefSeq and is a predicted model, not a curated record. The transcript has 3 exons.